AACGAACGCUGGCGGCAGGCCUAACACAUGCAAGUCGAGCGCGCCCUUCGGGGUGAGCGGCGGACGGGUGAGUAACGCGUGGGAACGUGCCCUUUUCUACGGAAUAGCCUCGGGAAACUGAGAGUAAUACCGUAUACGCCCUUUGGGGGUAAGAUUUAUCGGAAAAGGAUCGGCCCGCGUUGGAUUAGGUAGUUGGUGGGGUAAUGGCCUACCAAGCCGACGAUCCAUAGCUGGUUUGAGAGGAUGAUCAGCCACACUGGGACUGAGACACGGCCCAGACUCCUACGGGAGGCAGCAGUGGGGAAUCUUAGACAAUGGGGGCAACCCUGAUCUAGCCAUGCCGCGUGAGUGAUGAAGGCCUUAGGGUUGUAAAGCUCUUUCAGCUGGGAAGAUAAUGACGGUACCAGCAGAAGAAGCCCCGGCUAACUCCGUG
RNAcentral lists this ribosomal RNA (433 nucleotides) under uncultured bacterium. RNAcentral's name for it is "partial 16S ribosomal RNA". It matches the Rfam family "Bacterial small subunit ribosomal RNA", at positions 29 to 507 of the family's 1533-position model. The record is from RNAcentral.